This 158-nucleotide ribosomal RNA is filed under the name Cytidiella albida. RNAcentral's name for it is "Phlebia albida 5.8S ribosomal RNA". It matches the Rfam family "5.8S ribosomal RNA". Rfam says of the family: 5.8S ribosomal RNA (5.8S rRNA) is a component of the large subunit of the eukaryotic ribosome. The record is from RNAcentral. Lineage: Eukaryota; Fungi; Basidiomycota; Agaricomycetes; Polyporales; Irpicaceae.
CAACUUUCAGCAGCGGAUCUCUUGGCUCUCGCAUCGAUGAAGAACGCAGCGAAAUGCGAUAAGUAAUGUGAAUUGCAGAAUUCAGUGAAUCAUCGAAUCUUUGAACGCACCUUGCGCUCCUUGGUAUUCCGAGGAGCAUGCCUGUUUGAGUGUCAUGG